Molecule: ribosomal RNA, 292 nt
Filed under: uncultured bacterium
Lineage: Bacteria
Description: partial 16S ribosomal RNA
Source: RNAcentral
GGACUACACGGGUAUCUAAUCCCAUUCGCGACCCACGCUUUCGUGCUUCAGCGUCAGGAGCGGGCCAGUCUCUUGCCUUCGCUUUUGGUGUUCCCCAUGAUAUCAACGCAUUUCACCGCUACACCAUGAGUUCCAGAGACCUCUCCCGUCCUCGAGCCGUGCCGUUUCCCAUCCAGCCUACCGGUUGAGCCGGUAGAUUUAAGACAAGACUAACACAGCCGCCUACGCACCCUUUACGCCCAAUGAUUCCGGAUAACGCUUGAAGCACUCGUAUUACCGCGGCUGCUGGCAC